Molecule: long non-coding RNA, 1007 nt
Organism: Panthera uncia (snow leopard)
Lineage: Eukaryota; Metazoa; Chordata; Mammalia; Carnivora; Felidae
Exons: 2
Source: RefSeq, a predicted model, not a curated record
AAUCUGAAACACAGUUUCGCUGGUUUGUUAAUUUGUUGAUUUCUGCCUAUCUCAUAGCGGGCACUUUGGAGUCCUUUCUGUCAGUGUGAAAAAAAGGAGUGCAGAGGGCGGUCGAACUUCUGGAAGGUUUCUUACAGUUACACCUGAGAUAACAAGCCCUAAAGAGACGCAUACCAAAUGUGGGCGUGGCUUUUGCUGAUAACUACCAGGAUAAGCAAACCCCCAAAGCAGAUUUCCAAAAAUCGGACUUGCAGCUUAGGCCUAUUUUACCAGUGGGAAGGGACCUCAUGAAGGGGGUAAGGUUAACCACAGUCGUCAUCAAUUAUUUUUGCUGCCCAUUUUAUGUAUUUCCUUAUGCCAUCCCCUAAUAAUCGCCUCACGUGACUUCAACAUUCUCCUGUAACUGACAAGAAAAGAAGUAAGACGUUCACUCUUUUGCCGGGAUCACAUCACUAGCAAGUGGCAAAGGUGGACUUUAUCUCCCGUUCUUCCUCCAGGACCCAUGCCCUUGACUGCCAAUGUUGAUGAAAAUUAGCUUGUCUGGGCAAGAAAGGUAUCGGGCAGUUAAUUAGGCCUUGUGUCUUUCACCCACUGGGCCAUUUGCAGCGCCAUUCUUGGUAUUAAACCUAGGUUAAACCAAGACAGGCAAAUCCCUAAGCUUCAAACAUUCCCUCCACCCUGUUUCAAGAACGGCAGAUACACAAUGAAUGCCGAACUCUGUCUUUAAUAUGGAUAGCACGCAAAUACAGAAAAAAACUCUGUUAUUACUUGGAAGAGUUGGUACAAUGUUUCAGAUAUCGUCCGCUCCAGCAUUUUGGCAAAUGAAAGAACAAAGAAGGAGAAGAAGAAGAAAGAAAGAAAGAGAGAGAGAGAGGAAGAGAGAAAGAAAGAAAGAAAGAAAGGGAAAGGAGGAAAGAAAAAGAAGGAAAGAAGGAAGAUCAAAAGAAAAGAAUAGGAAAAAAGGAGGUCAAUUUCCAUUUUAUAGAUAAAGAGUACUUUCCAUUUCA